CCUACGGGGGGCAGCAGUGAGGAAUAUUGGUCAAUGGGCGCGAGCCUGAACCAGCCAAGUAGCGUGAAGGAGGACUGCCCUACGGGUUGUAAACUUCUUUUAUAAAGGAAUAAAGUGAGGCACGUGUGCCUGUUUGUAUGGACUUUAUGAAUAAGGAUCGGCUAACUCCGUUCCAGCAGCCGCGGUAAUACGGCGGGUCCGUGCGUUAUCCGGGUUUAAUGGGUUUAAAGGGAGCGUAGAUGGGUCUUUAAGUCAGUUGUGAAAGUUUGCGGCUCAACCGUAAAAGUGCAAUUGAUACUGGCAGCCUUGAGUACAGUUGAGGUAGGCGGAAUUCGUGGUGUAGCGGUGAAAUGCUUAGAUAUCACGCAGAACUCCGAUUGCGAAGGCAGCCUACUAAACUGCCACUGACAUUGAUGCUCGAAAGUGUGGGUAUCAAACAGGAUUAGAUACCCUAGUAGUC
This 460-nucleotide ribosomal RNA is filed under the name uncultured bacterium. RNAcentral's name for it is "partial 16S ribosomal RNA". It matches the Rfam family "Bacterial small subunit ribosomal RNA", at positions 338 to 795 of the family's 1533-position model. The record is from RNAcentral.